This 292-nucleotide ribosomal RNA is filed under the name uncultured bacterium. RNAcentral's name for it is "partial 16S ribosomal RNA". It matches the Rfam family "Bacterial small subunit ribosomal RNA", at positions 505 to 796 of the family's 1533-position model. The record is from RNAcentral.
GUGCCAGCAGCCGCGGUAAUACGUAGGGGGCAAGCGUUGUCCGGAUUUACUGGGCGUAAAGAGCGCGUAGGCGGAAGCUUAAGCGGUGCCUGAAAGCCCCCGGCUCAACCGGGGAGGGUGGUGCCGAACUGGGUUUCUUGAGGGCGACAGGGGAGGGUGGAAUUCCGGGUGUAGCGGUGAAAUGCGUAGAUAUCCGGAGGAACACCAGGGGCGAAGGCGGCCCUCUGGGUCGGCCCUGACGCUGAGGCGCGAAAGCGUGGGGAGCGAACGGGAUUAGAAACCCCUGUAGUCC